UAGUUGGUGGGGUAAAGGCCUACCAAGGCGACGAUCAGUAGCGGGUCUGAGAGGAUGAUCCGCCACACUGGAACUGAGACACGGUCCAGACUCCUACGGGAGGCAGCAGUGGGGAAUUUUGGACAAUGGGGGCAACCCUGAUCCAGCCAUUCCGCGUGAGUGAAGAAGGCCUUCGGGUUGUAAAGCUCUUUCAGCUGGAACGAAACGGUACAUCCUAAUACGGUGUGCUAAUGACGGUACCAGCAGAAGAAGCACCGGCUAACUACGUGCCAGCAGCCGCGGUAAUACGUAGGGUGCGAGCGUUAAUCGGAAUUACUGGGCGUAAAGCGUGCGCAGGCGGAUUGUUAAGCAAGAUGUGAAAUCCCCGGGCUUAACCUGGGAAUGGCAUUUUGAACUGGCAGUCUAGAGUGUGUCAGAGGGGGGUGGAAUUCCACGUGUAGCAGUGAAAUGCGUAGAGAUGUGGAGGAACACCAAUGGCGAAGGCAGCCCCCUGGGAUAACACUGACGCUCAUGUACGAAAGCGUGGGUAGCAAACAGGAUUAGAUACCCUGGUAGUCCACGCCCUAAACGAUGUCAACUGGUUGUUGGGGGAGUGAAAUCCCUUAGUAACGAAGCUAACGCGUGAAGUUGACCGCCUGGGGAGUACGGUCGCAAGAUUAAAACUCAAAGGAAUUGACGGGGACCCGCACAAGCGGUGGAUGAUGUGGAUUAAUUCGAUGCAACGCGAAAAACCUUACCUACCCUUGACAUGUCCAGAACCCUGCAGAGAUGCGGGGGUGCCCGAAAGGGAAUCGGAACACAGGUGCUGCAUGGCUGUCGUCAGCUCGUGUCGUGAGAUGUUGGGUUAAGUCCCGCAACGAGCGCAACCCUUAUCAUUAGUUGCUACGCAAGGGCACUCUAAUGAGACUGCCGG
RNAcentral lists this ribosomal RNA (913 nucleotides) under uncultured bacterium. RNAcentral describes it as "bacterial SSU rRNA". It matches the Rfam family "Bacterial small subunit ribosomal RNA", at positions 246 to 1155 of the family's 1533-position model. The record is from RNAcentral.